RNAcentral lists this ribosomal RNA (253 nucleotides) under uncultured bacterium. Its description in RNAcentral is "partial 16S ribosomal RNA". It matches the Rfam family "Bacterial small subunit ribosomal RNA", at positions 524 to 776 of the family's 1533-position model. The record is from RNAcentral.
UACAGAGGGUGCGAGCGUUAAUCGGAAUUACUGGGCGUAAAGCGCGUGUAGGCAGCUUGGCAAGUCGGGUGUGAAAGCCCUGGGCUCAACCUAGGAAGUGCACUCGAAACUGCUUCGCUUGAGUAUCGGAGAGGAAAGCGGAAUUCUCGGUGUAGAGGUGAAAUUCGUAGAUAUCGAGAGGAACACCAGUGGCGAAGGCGGCUUUCUGGACGAUCACUGACGCUGAGACGCGAAAGCGUGGGGAGCAAACAGG